RNAcentral lists this ribosomal RNA (253 nucleotides) under uncultured bacterium. RNAcentral describes it as "partial 16S ribosomal RNA". It matches the Rfam family "Bacterial small subunit ribosomal RNA", at positions 524 to 776 of the family's 1533-position model. The record is from RNAcentral.
UACGUAGGUGACCAGCGUUGUCCGGAUUUACUGGGCGUAAAGAGCGCGCAGGCGGUCGUUCAAGUCGAGUGUGAAAGCCCCCGGCUCAACUGGGGAGGGUCACUCGAUACUGAUCGACUUGAAGGCAGGAGAGGGAAGCGGAAUUCCCGGUGUAGUGGUGAAAUGCGUAGAUAUCGGGAGGAACACCUAUGGCGAAGGCAGCUCGCUGGGACGUUACUGACGCUGAGACGCGAAAGCGUGGGGAGCAAACAGG